GGGCGUUUAGCUCAGCUGGUUCAGAGCAUCUGCCUUACAAGCAGAGGGUCGGCGGUUCGAAUCCGUCAACGCCCACGA
Molecule: transfer RNA, 78 nt
Filed under: Parabacteroides distasonis
Lineage: Bacteria; Pseudomonadati; Bacteroidota; Bacteroidia; Bacteroidales; Tannerellaceae
Also listed under: 11 other names
Description: tRNA-Val
Rfam family: tRNA
About the family: Transfer RNA (tRNA) molecules are approximately 80 nucleotides in length. Their secondary structure includes four short double-helical elements and three loops (D, anti-codon, and T loops).
Source: RNAcentral